UACGGAGGAUCCGAGCGUUAUCCGGAUUUAUUGGGUUUAAAGGGAGCGUAGGUGGAUUGUUAAGUCAGUUGUGAAAGUUUGCGGCUCAACCGUAAAAUUGCAGUUGAAACUGGCAGUCUUGAGUACAGUAGAGGUGGGCGGAAUUCGUGGUGUAGCGGUGAAAUGCUUAGAUAUCACGAAGAACUCCGAUUGCGAAGGCAGCUCACUGGACUGCUACUGACACUGAGGCUCGAAAGUGUGGGUAUCAAACAGG
This 253-nucleotide ribosomal RNA is filed under the name uncultured bacterium. Its description in RNAcentral is "partial 16S ribosomal RNA". It matches the Rfam family "Bacterial small subunit ribosomal RNA", at positions 524 to 776 of the family's 1533-position model. The record is from RNAcentral.